RNAcentral lists this long non-coding RNA (2080 nucleotides) under Brassica napus (rape). RNAcentral describes it as "long non-coding RNA (BNAP_LNC026363)". Lineage: Eukaryota; Viridiplantae; Streptophyta; Magnoliopsida; Brassicales; Brassicaceae. The record is from RNAcentral.
AAACGACGACAGUGAAGCGCAGGAGCUGUGGCGAAGGAGGCGCUGAAGCGGAGGUGGAGGCGCUGAAGCGGAGGUGGAGGCGCGGCAGACUCGUCUCGGUCAAGCUCUCUGUUGGCUUCACCUACUCACCACCAUCACAGGUCAACCCACUUCGCCUUCCUCUUAUCUCUGUUCUCUCGUUCUCUUCAUCUUCUUAUAUAUUUGUAAUUGGUUUUGUUUUUUUUUCAGAUCUGAGAAGCAGCAGUGAUGAAACAGGAAAGAGAAGCAGUGGUGUGACAGAGAGUGUCUCCGGUUAAGGGUGGUGCGUUGGUGGUGCAAAAGCCGUUGGUGGUGCAGCGAUGGUGUGACAGAGCGGCGCUGUGAGAUCCGGUUAGGCCGAGGAGGCGGCUUGAAGCUUGAAGAUUAGGUUUAGUAUUUUUUAUGGUUUUACUUCUUCUUCUUUUUUUAGUUCUGGUUUAGUUGUCAACCGGAUUUAAUUGUAAACCAAACUUUUAUUAGUAAACCAAAUUCAAUUAUUUUGUAAAAAAAAAAAUCAAUGUAUUAUAUAUUUCCAUUGUAUUUUGUGAUUUAUAAUUUUUUUAAUUUUUAAUAAUGUCAAAAAUAACGAAAAUUAUAUAUUUUUAAAAAUAUUUUUCAAAACAUUUGCGAGGAAACUGUGUUUCGUAAAUCUAUUGCAAAUUUGCGAGGAACCAUUUUCCAUCGCAAUUUGCAACGAACCUUCUUCUGUCGCAAAUUUGCGAGGAACCGUCUUCCGUUGCAAAUUUGCGUGGAAACGUUUUCCCUCGCAAAUUUGCAAGGAAAUUGCGAGAGUUUUUUUCCUUGCAACAAACUUGUUUUCUUGUAGUGAAAUUAUAUUAAUAUCCAAAACUAUAUUUCUCUAAAAAACUAUUUUUAAAAAGUAGAGUUAAUUUUUUAAAAUAAAAUUUAAAUGUUUUAAAAAAAAUAAAUUUUAAAUUGUUUUAAAAUAAAUUUAAAAUUUGAGAAAAAAAUUAAAAAAAAAGGAAAUUGCCAAAACGACCACAUUCACAAUACCAUUUGCAUGUUUACGUUAACCAUUUUUUUCUUCACUUAUAAACCUGGGGUUUAUUUUUUAAACAUGUGGUUAACUAAUCUAGGUUUUGAGUUUUGAGUUGAGGGAUGGGGUAUGAUUUUUGGAAUGUAGAGUUUACGGUUUUAAUAAGUAUUUUUAAAAAUUAAAAAAUUUAAAAAAUAGUUUCAAAAUUUUUGAAUUUCAAAAAAAAAAAUUGAAUUUGAAAAAGUAUAAUUCGAAAACAUAAAAAAAAAAUAUUUUUAAUUUUAUUUUUACUUUAUCUUUUAUUUAAAUAAUUAUUUAUUAUCUAUAUAGAGUAAGUGUAUAAGAGUCUCUUGUCUCUUAAUGAAGAAGAUAUUUUUGAAAAAGACAAUUCUCCUAAAUAGACAAUUUUCAAGUUUUGGCCACAAAAAUAGACCACAAGGAGGAAAAUGACCAAAAUGUUUCAUUUAACAGGUAAAAUGACACUAAUACCCUAGAUAUACAAAAAAAUAAAAAAAUUAAAAAUAAUAAAAAAUUUAAAAAAAAAUAAAAAAUAAAAUAAAAUAAAAUAAAACUUUUUUAUAUAGUUUUAGAUUAUAUCUUUUCAAAUUCGAACUUUUUUAUAUAAAAAUAAAUUUGAUUUUUUUUUCGAAUUUUUUUUUUAUUUUUUUAAGAGGAGUAAAAUUAACAUGCGGUCGUAAAAAAAAAAGAAACCCAAUAUUUUGGAUGUCAAACAUUAAAUCACCGAGUCAAUUCACCCCGCGCAAGGCGCGGGUUAUCACCUAGUUCUAAUAUAUUUAAGUUGCAAUUAUAUUGAAAGCAAAUCAUAAACACAAAACCAUUUAAUUAUAUUGUGGCGAAGGAGGCGCUGAAGCGGAGGUGGAGGCGCUGAAGCGGAGGUGGAGGCGCGGCAGACUCGUCUCGGUCAAGCUCUCUGUUGGCUUCACCUACUCACCACCAUCACAGGUCAACCCACUUCGCCUUCCUCUUAUCUCUGUUCUCUCGUUCUCUUCAUCUUCUUAUAUAUUUGUAAUUGGUUUUGUUUUUUUUUCAGAUCUGAGAAGCAGC